GAGAAUAUGAAGUGAGAGCAGGACAGCACUCCUCUUGAUUAGGAUGGAAGAAGUCUUAACGGACUUUUAACCAUGUUUAAAGCUGUCACUUUGCGGCAUCUAAUGUCUAUCCUGGGAAGACUGCUGCAACUGCCAAGUUCUUUU
This is a small nuclear RNA of Apus apus (common swift), 144 nucleotides long. The record is from RefSeq and is a predicted model, not a curated record. NCBI's taxonomy places the organism in Eukaryota, Metazoa, Chordata, Aves, Apodiformes, Apodidae.